RNAcentral lists this small nuclear RNA (104 nucleotides) under Octopus vulgaris (common octopus). RNAcentral also lists the same sequence under 1 other name. Lineage: Eukaryota; Metazoa; Mollusca; Cephalopoda; Octopoda; Octopodidae. The record is from RNAcentral.
GUGCUAUGGUGGUACAUAUUCUAAAAUUGGAACAAUACAGAGAAGAUUAGUAUGGCCCCUGUGCAAAGGAUGAUAUGCAAAUUUGUGAAGCAUUCCAUAUUUUU